UAAAAGCAGACACACCUCAUUGAACAGAAACAUAUUCCACAUUCUGCUCUCUAACCAUGGCAAUACACUUUGCACUUUUACUCCUGUCAGCUCUUGGAGGUGACACAUUUGCAGAUGAUAUUACUGCCAUCAGAGCUGAAGUGUAUUCAUCUCAGGGCCGCAGCGUCACUCUAUCCUGUAACUAUUCAGUUAAAGCUAAUAAUCUCCAGUGGUAUCGACAGUAUCCUGGAUCAGCUCCUCAGUUCCUUCUCCUGAUCACAGACACAACAACUCCUACUGUAGUGGAAGCAGAACCUCCAAUCCCUCGAAUGUCUGUUCAGCUGAAACAGAAGAGAAAUCGUGUGGAUCUGGAGAUCUCCUCAGCUGAAGUGACAGACUCUGCUCUGUACUACUGUGCUGUGAGGAAACUGUCUAAAGACAAGCGUGGUGUGGAUCUGGAGAUCUCCUCUGCUGCAGUGACACACUCUGCUCUGUACUACUGUGCUGUG
Myripristis murdjan (pinecone soldierfish) is the source of this 488-nucleotide non-coding RNA. NCBI's taxonomy places the organism in Eukaryota, Metazoa, Chordata, Actinopteri, Holocentriformes, Holocentridae. The record is from the annotation of a RefSeq genome assembly.